UAUGCCCUUAGAGACAUUGCAGGUGUGGCUGCUGUGUCACAUAUGUGUCAGAAGGUGCCAGAAAAGAGAGACUAUACCUAUCUGUUGUGACCUGUAAACAUUUGAAAGAUUAGUAGCCUAACAUC
This is a small nucleolar RNA of Acomys russatus (golden spiny mouse), 125 nucleotides long. RefSeq annotates it as small nucleolar RNA SNORA17. Lineage: Eukaryota; Metazoa; Chordata; Mammalia; Rodentia; Muridae. The record is from RefSeq and is a predicted model, not a curated record. The transcript has a single exon.